Non-coding RNA from Pelobates cultripes (western spadefoot toad), 220 nucleotides. NCBI's taxonomy places the organism in Eukaryota, Metazoa, Chordata, Amphibia, Anura, Pelobatidae. The record is from the annotation of a GenBank genome assembly.
UGGCACUAUACCUCCAAAGGGCAGGGUGUACCCCUUAUCGGUUCAAGAAAACCGUGUCAUGGAGGAGUACAUCAAGGAAUCAUUAGAAAAAGGGUUUAUUAGGAGAUCCUCUUCUCCAGCUGGAGCAGGGUUCUUCUUUGUAUCGAAGAAAGAAGGUGAUUUAAGACCGUGUAUAGAUUAUAGAGGUCUAAACAAAAUCACUAUCAAAAAUGCAUACCCU